ACGGCUCAGUAACACGUGGAUAACCUGCCCUUGGGACCGGCAUAACCCCGGGAAACUGGGGAUAAUUCCGGAUAACGCAUAUAUGCUGGAAUGCUUUAUGCGUGAAAUGGAUUCGUCUGCCCAAGGAUGGGUCUGCGGCCUAUCAGGUAGUAGUGGGUGUAAUGGACCUACUAGCCUACAACGGGUACGGGUUGUGAGAGCAAGAGCCCGGAGAUGGAUUCUGAGACAUGAAUCCAGGCCCUACGGGGCGCAGCAGGCGCGAAAACUUUACAAUGCGGGAAACCGUGAUAAGGGGACACCGAGUGCCAGCAUCAUAUGCUGGCUGUCCAGGUGUGUAAAAUACACCUGUUAGCAAGGGCCGGGCAAGACCGGUGCCAGCCGCCGCGGUAACACCGGCGGCCCGAGUGGUGAUCGUGAUUAUUGGGUCUAAAGGGUCCGUAGCCGGUUUGGUCAGUCCUCCGGGAAAUCUGACAGCUCAACUGUUAGGCCUUCGGGGGAUACUGCCAGACUUGGAACCGGGAGAGGUAAGAGGUACUACAGGGGUAGGAGUGAAAUCUUGUAAUCCCUGUGGGACCACCUGUGGCGAAGGCGUCUUACCAGAACGGGUUCGACGGUGGGGGACGAAAGCUGGGGGCACGAACCGGAUUAGAUACCCGGGUAGUCCCAGCCGUAAACGAUGCUCGCUAGGUGUCAGGCAUGGCGCGACCGUGUCUGGUGCCGCAGGGAAGCCGUGAAGCGAGCCACCUGGGAAGUACGGCCGCAAGGCUGAAACUUAAAGGAAUUGGCGGGGGAGCAC
RNAcentral lists this ribosomal RNA (796 nucleotides) under uncultured Methanosarcinaceae archaeon. RNAcentral describes it as "bacterial SSU rRNA". It matches the Rfam family "Archaeal small subunit ribosomal RNA", at positions 85 to 879 of the family's 1478-position model. The record is from RNAcentral. Lineage: Archaea; Methanobacteriati; Methanobacteriota; Methanomicrobia; Methanosarcinales; Methanosarcinaceae.